AUUGCUCUUCAAUCUUCAUCUUCUUCCCCUUUCCAACCAUGAGACGUAAUCACGAUGGCUGCGGCGGCUAGAGGCGGCGAGCGGCGGUGAGAGAACAACAAAUGAAAGAGGACCACCACUUUUCAAGUUUGCAGUUCAUCACUUUUUUUUCUCUUUGGUUCAACAUCUGCAUUUUGUUAUGGUCAAUUAAUGCUUUAAUGGUGUUUCGUACUGUUCUAUAGCAAGAUUUUGAUUAUGUCAAUUUUUUUUGUUGUUCUUCUAUUAUUGAGUUGUUAUGGAAAACAAUCCUAAUAUCUAGGUAUUGAACUUAUUAAUCCACCGAAAAACAGAAUAUCAAUUUUGUUCCUUUGUUCUUGUCAGGUUUGCAAUUCAUCAUUUUUUUACUAUUUGGUUCAACCUCUGCAUUUUGUUCCUUUGUUCUUGUUAAUUUGAUUCCUCAAUGCCUCUAUUAUACUAUUAAAAAUAGAAAUUAGCAAAAUAUUUGAUGAUGAUCGAAAAUCUUGUCAAAGUGCAUGUUUCUUAUUAUCUAUCCUAGCAUAUCUGCAACAUCUUGUUUGUUACUAACUGUAAUAUCCUUUUUUUUAGUCUUACACUAGUAAUUGUUAUUUACUUCAAAGUUAAUGGAAUAGAUCAGAUGAUCCAUAUCUCAAUUGGCCUCACUAGGAGUUUAGAAAUUGAAUCCUUCCAAGUAUAGCCUUGACUAGCUAUAAGAUAUCUAUUACAUGUCAUGAAUGUGACAACUCCAAGCAAGGACUUCCUAGAACUUAUGAGAGAGUUGCUUGAACUCUUAAUAAAGGCCAGAAGUCGGAGGAGUUUGACCAGGCAAGAGAUAUAUUGAAAAUAGCACAACCAUCAUUACUGUUUGCUGCAAAAAGCCUAGAUGAUGACGAAUGGUAUGCAAGAAAGAUUGCAGAAGAACUCAAAAAAAGUUAUGUGAAGUUGAAGAAUGUGAGAGUGGAAAGAGGUUCGAAGAGG
Molecule: non-coding RNA, 975 nt
Organism: Arachis ipaensis
Lineage: Eukaryota; Viridiplantae; Streptophyta; Magnoliopsida; Fabales; Fabaceae
Source: RefSeq, a predicted model, not a curated record